Molecule: non-coding RNA, 72 nt
Organism: Haemonchus contortus (barber pole worm)
Lineage: Eukaryota; Metazoa; Nematoda; Chromadorea; Rhabditida; Trichostrongylidae
Source: Rfam
GUUUCAGUAGUUCAAGGGAUAGAACACGGGGCCCAUAAAGCACAAGUACGGGUUCGAUUCCCGUCCGAGACU